RNAcentral lists this ribosomal RNA (767 nucleotides) under bacterium M00.F.Ca.ET.162.01.1.1. RNAcentral describes it as "partial 23S ribosomal RNA". It matches the Rfam family "Bacterial large subunit ribosomal RNA", at positions 239 to 1004 of the family's 2925-position model. The record is from RNAcentral.
CUGAGUAGCGGCGAGCGAAACGGGAAUAGCCCAAACCAACGAGCUUGCUUGUUGGGGUUGUAGGACACUCUAUACGGAGUUACAAAGGAAUAGAUUAGACGAAGCAUCUGGAAAGAUGCAUCAAAGAAGGUAAUAAUCCUGUAGUCGAAAAUCUGUUCUCUCUUGAGUGGAUCCUGAGUACGACGGAACACGAGAAAUUCCGUCGGAAUCCGGGGGGACCAUCUCCCAAGGCUAAAUACUCUCUAGUGACCGAUAGUGAACCAGUACCGUGAGGGAAAGGUGAAAAGUACCCCGGAAGGGGAGUGAAAGAGAACUUGAAACCGUGUGCUUACAAGUAGUCAGAGCCCGUUAAUGGGUGAUGGCGUGCCUUUUGUAGAAUGAACCGGCGAGUUACGAUUUGAUGCAAGGUUAAGCAGUGAAUGUGGAGCCGUAGCGAAAGCGAGUCUGAAUAGGGCGUUGAGUAUUUGGUCGUAGACCCGAAACCAGGUGAUCUACCCUUGACCAGGUUGAAGUUCAGGUAACACUGAAUGGAGGACCGAACCGACUUACGUUGAAAAGUGAGCGGAUGAGUUGAGGGUAGCGGAGAAAUUCCAAUCGAACCUGGAGAUAGCUGGUUCUCUCCGAAAUAGCUUUAGGGCUAGCCUCAAGUGAUGAUUAUUGGAGGUAGAGCACUGUUUGGACGAGGGGCCCUUCUCGGGUUACCGAAUUCAGACAAACUCCGAAUGCCAAUCAAUUUAACUUGGGAGUCAGAACGCGGGUGAUAAGGU